AGUGAACGCUGGCGGUAGGCCUAACACAUGCAAGUCGAACGGCAGCACAGUAAGAGCUUGCUCUUACGGGUGGCGAGUGGCGGACGGGUGAGGAAUACAUCGGAAUCUACUUUUUCGUGGGGGAUAACGUAGGGAAACUUACGCUAAUACCGCAUACGACCUACGGGUGAAAGCAGGGGAUCUUCGGACCUUGCGCGAUUGAAUGAGCCGAUGUCGGAUUAGCUAGUUUGCGGGGUAAAGGCCCACCAAGGCGACGAUCCGUAGCUGGUCUGAGAGGAUGAUCAGCCACACUGGAACUGAGACACGGUCCAGACUCCUACGGGAGGCAGCAGUGGGGAAUAUUGGACAAUGGGCGCAAGCCUGAUCCAGCCAUACCGCGUGGGUGUAGAAGGCCUUCGGGUUGUAAAGCCCUUUUGUUGGGAAAGAAAAGCAGCAGGUUAAUACCCCGCUGUUCUGACGGUACCCAAAGAAUAAGCACCGGCUAACUUCGUG
RNAcentral lists this ribosomal RNA (492 nucleotides) under uncultured bacterium. Its description in RNAcentral is "partial 16S ribosomal RNA". It matches the Rfam family "Bacterial small subunit ribosomal RNA", at positions 29 to 507 of the family's 1533-position model. The record is from RNAcentral.